This 563-nucleotide long non-coding RNA is filed under the name Homo sapiens (human). Its description in RNAcentral is "non-protein coding lnc-PER2-1:1". Lineage: Eukaryota; Metazoa; Chordata; Mammalia; Primates; Hominidae. The record is from RNAcentral.
CAUUUUUGCGGCUGGCUUCCAACAUGAACUGACUUAUAGCAAAAGGAGUUUAUAAGAAGCCUUAAUAACCUUGAGAAAUAUCUUACAAUGGACACUUUAUUGAGAUUUGAGAGCCAACUGUUACACAUUAACUAGCACACCACUGGAGUCAGCCCAACAAAUGAUUGGAAUCAGUUCCUGGUGUCCUUGCCAAAGCAUCGAGUUUUAAAUCACAGAUGACUGCCCCUGUGCCAACGAAUUCUUCUCCAGCCACCCAUCUAGCGUUAUGCUCCUUCGCCACCACACUGCGAAGAACCAGCGUCACCUGUGUUCCUUCAGCUCCUGCUGGCACACAUUAGCUUUGCAAUUCCUUUGGAGAACAGGACAGUUCUGACCAGAGCUGAGCAUAUGCCUCUCUGCUCUAGCUACGGUGAAGCCUGCCCCUGGAUGUUGGCAUCAAGGAGCAGUGGUGAGGGCAGGUCUUGAGAACAAACACCUUGCAGGACACCUACCACAGGAAGCACCACCCAAUGCCUUGCUCUCUGGCUGCACCCAUCAUAACUGACCACAGGUGAAAACUCCAG